GACUUGCUCUAGUGAAGAACCAGGACGCUUGUCUCCUACACAGGAGCACCAAGGCAGCACAAAAUUACCAUCUCUUCAUGUUGUAAUGAUGAUGCAACACUUCAAAGGCAUUGUAAUGACAGAAUUUUACGAUGGGACUAUGUGGAGAAGAUAGAGACAGACCCUUCUCAGAGGUGCGCGGGAGGCAAUGGACAUAAGCUGAAACAGAACUUCAGAGAAGAUACAAGGAUUGAUGGUGGUUUGUGUGAACAUUUUUGCAACAUGCUCCCAGAUGAAGCUGUGCCCGGAGGGAGGUCCGCAGCAGAGCGGGGUGUGGUACAGCUGUGUCCCGGCGCCCCAUGGGUCAAAGCGUGAUCCUUCUCCCUUCCUCCUCGGAAUUGCUCCAGCCACGUCUCCAAGUCACGCACCAUGCAAAUGCACCACGUGCAAUUUAAGAGCAUUUAGGAGUACAAACAGGGGCAUGUCAAAUGGAAGACAGCAAAGAUACUUCAUCGUACAUGACAGAAUCAGAAACUUCGGAUAUGAUAAUGACUCCCAAACUGGCCUGUUGUUCAGUGUGACACAGAAAGAGAUCUACAAAAAGACAUCUCUGCUCCAAAGCUCACAUAGCUGUGGGCCAAAGCUAAUAAACCCUGCCUUCAGCAGCAGAGGAUUCUCAGCAGUGCGCUCUGUGGUGAAUAAGGAAUUUCAUAGAGGAUCCCAACGCUGUCUUCUCUCAAUGGGUCUUUCCUUGUGUUUUCACAUCAGAGGGUAUAAGGUGCAGUUCAGGAGAAACAGAGCGUUGCAAAUACAUUUUGAUGCUGUAUAUCUGUAUGAGAUGGGAGCUGUAUGUGUGCCUGGAUUUUAAAUCUAUGAUUGCCCUACUUAAUAAGAAUGACUUAGGAGCCUUAAGACCAAGUUUCAGCUGACUACUAUGACUCGGAAGAGGAUUAAGCUUUACUUCCUUCAGACCUGCUCUGAUUCUGACUUCUAUGUUGAUUGAUAGAGAAAACGAGUUUUUUGAGGAAUGAGGUCUUGUACAAGGUGUGGCUGAAGAAGCGAAAAUGACCUUACCUCACAAGACAACAAGGUACCAUAGAUGAGAGG
This is a long non-coding RNA of Grus americana (Whooping crane), 1086 nucleotides long. RefSeq lists it as uncharacterized. The transcript is spliced from 8 exons. The record is from RefSeq and is a predicted model, not a curated record. NCBI's taxonomy places the organism in Eukaryota, Metazoa, Chordata, Aves, Gruiformes, Gruidae.